Molecule: ribosomal RNA, 114 nt
Filed under: Acanthosepion pharaonis
Lineage: Eukaryota; Metazoa; Mollusca; Cephalopoda; Sepiida; Sepiidae
Source: RNAcentral
UUACGGUCAAAUCACGCUGAAACACCGGUUCUCGUUCGAUCACCGAAGUUAAGCAUCGUAGAGACAGGUCAGUACUUAGAUGGGGGACCGCUGGGGAACACCUGGUACUGUAAG